UUGCUGGGCUUGCCGCUGAAAAGACAGUGCAAGAGGUGUAGGCGUGUUGAAUAGAAUUCUACACCAAGACAGAGCAGGCCUGCCAGCUCACAGGGCACACCAGAGACACAAAGCAUUCUUUUCUUACCCUGACCAUUCUCUUUUUUUUUAAAAAAAAAGUAAAUAGAAACUAAAGUGAGGGUGAAAAAACACUAUGAUAAAAUGUCGGAUAUCCGUAGACGUGGGGCAUUUCUAACCUGAGGUAGAUUCUUCUUUGGGUCUGCAUUUCUUAAAAUGAUUACUUGUUUUGAAAGGGAAGCCAGAGCGUCAGUGGGUUCAAACAAAGGGAAGGAAAACCACUCUAUCCCAUUCUUUGAAUAAAAUGUAUGUUUCCUAUAGUGGAAUUACUAUCUACUUAAUACAGGAAGACGAGGGAGCACCGAGAAGAGUAAAGAAGCCAAGGUAAACAGGGCUGCAUCGUCAAAUGAACUAAAGAUAAUGAGUGAGGCUGAAGAUCUGGAGGAAUGGGAUGUUUCUGCACUCAGGAUGAGACUAUAAAUUAAUCCAGCCACUGAGGAAAACUACAUGGAGAGCCCAUUAAAAACCUAAAAGAAUUAUU
Molecule: non-coding RNA, 598 nt
Organism: Rattus norvegicus (Norway rat)
Lineage: Eukaryota; Metazoa; Chordata; Mammalia; Rodentia; Muridae
Source: RefSeq, a predicted model, not a curated record